CCUUCCCACCAUCGGACAAGAGCCGUCCUCGGCUCUGAUACCAAAUGUCACGCCCCCGCCUCUGCGAGGCACGUGAGGCACCUAGUGCCCACGUGGGAGCCACAUGAGGGGGGAACACGGGGCUCCCCUGCCAGAUAUUGUCCGGUUCUGAGGCUUCACGCAAGCGUCCUUCACCCCUCCCCGGUUUUGUUUUCCACCCAAAACGCGUCUUCAGGAUUAGGAGACACCCGCCUCAUAUGCCCAGGCUCUGAAACGAGUCUUUUCGAUGUGGGACUAUUGGGCCUCACACCCAACAAAAUUGGGGGAAUGUAACAUUAGGGGAAGGUGCACUGCAAACAGUUCACAUAACAACACGACAUGGUGGAGCACACAAGUAAGAUUAUCAUUAAAAUGUAACAAUAGUAUGAUCAUGCUUUUAUCUCAAACUAUGGUACACGAGGAUGUGCACCACACUUUAAUUUUACAUGCAACUUAAAGAGAGAAGUCAUGGAAUCAAAAUCAGGAUAUCUUCCAUACUGCCUCAUAUUUGUAUAUCUACAACAAGUUUGUUGUUUCAAGCGCUCAACUACUACAAAUGAAAUAAGCCAGUAAGCUCUUUUCGGGAGCUUUUUUGCCGAGGUUAUCGAAAGUGAAGUAGAUAACUAAACAAAGGAUGUGAAAGAGACCCCACCCAGUAAGAUCAAGUGAGGUGCUAUCCAUGAUACUGAUGUUUAGUGUUUAUGUUCGCGAUGUUUGCGAGCGCGAACGCAUACCGGAAAAAAAAUGGAAAAUAGGGCCCUAGCCUCGUCGGCCCUCCAAUUCUCAACCCCGACCUAAGUGUCUACCAUGAGCCUGCAGUCAA
RNAcentral lists this long non-coding RNA (841 nucleotides) under Phoenix dactylifera (date palm). RNAcentral describes it as "long non-coding RNA (PDAC_LNC017701)". The record is from RNAcentral. Lineage: Eukaryota; Viridiplantae; Streptophyta; Magnoliopsida; Arecales; Arecaceae.